This 77-nucleotide transfer RNA is filed under the name Primula merrilliana. Its description in RNAcentral is "tRNA-Gly". It matches the Rfam family "tRNA". From Rfam's summary of the family: Transfer RNA (tRNA) molecules are approximately 80 nucleotides in length. Their secondary structure includes four short double-helical elements and three loops (D, anti-codon, and T loops). Lineage: Eukaryota; Viridiplantae; Streptophyta; Magnoliopsida; Ericales; Primulaceae. The record is from RNAcentral.
GCGGAUAUAGUCGAAUGGUAAAAUUUCUCUUUGCCAAGCCAAGGAGAAGACGCGGGUUCGAUUCCCGCUAUCCGCCA